CAGGAGCAGAGAAGACUUUCAGAUGCAGAAUUUCAGCUGCGCCGGCAACUGAAGCAAAGGCUGCUCGGAUUAGCAGCGAUUGAGCGUGCCAGAAAGAGACAGGCGGCCAGAAUCACAUGGUUGUGAGCGGGUGAUGCAAAGACUGCUUUCUUUCAGGCCAAGAUCAACUCCAGGAGGCAAAAAAAUCACAUCUACUCGCUGCAGACUGAUACUGGAACUGCCCUCGACCAUGAAGAAAAAGCAGCAACCGCACACCAGCAUUUC
This 264-nucleotide ribosomal RNA is filed under the name Triticum aestivum (bread wheat). Its description in RNAcentral is "partial small subunit ribosomal RNA". Lineage: Eukaryota; Viridiplantae; Streptophyta; Magnoliopsida; Poales; Poaceae. The record is from RNAcentral.